RNAcentral lists this ribosomal RNA (497 nucleotides) under uncultured bacterium. RNAcentral describes it as "partial 16S ribosomal RNA". It matches the Rfam family "Bacterial small subunit ribosomal RNA", at positions 28 to 507 of the family's 1533-position model. The record is from RNAcentral.
GAUGAACGCUGGCGGCGUGCCUAAUACAUGCAAGUCGAGCGAACAGACGAGGAGCUUGCUCCUCUGACGUUAGCGGCGGACGGGUGAGUAACACGUGGAUAACCUACCUAUAAGACUGGGAUAACUUCGGGAAACCGGAGCUAAUACCGGAUAAUAUAUUGAACCGCAUGCUUCAAUAGUGAAAGACGGUUUUGCUGUCACUUAUAGAUGGAUCCGCGCCGCAUUAGCUAGUUGGUAAGGUAACGGCUUACCAAGGCGACGAUGCGUAGCCGACCUGAGAGGGUGAUCGGCCACACUGGAACUGAGACACGGUCCAGACUCCUACGGGAGGCAGCAGUAGGGAAUCUUCCGCAAUGGGCGAAAGCUUGACGGAGCAACGCCGCGUGAGUGAUGAAGGUCUUCGGAUCGUAAAACUCUGUUAUUAGGGAAGAACAAAUGUGUAAGUAACUAUGCACGUCUUGACGGUACCUAAUCAGAAAGCCACGGCUAACUACGUG